This 253-nucleotide ribosomal RNA is filed under the name uncultured bacterium. RNAcentral's name for it is "partial 16S ribosomal RNA". It matches the Rfam family "Archaeal small subunit ribosomal RNA", at positions 474 to 727 of the family's 1478-position model. The record is from RNAcentral.
UACCAGCACCCCGAGUGGUCGGGACGAUUAUUGGGCCUAAAGCAUCCGUAGCCGGUCAUGCAAGUCCUCCGUUAAAUCCACCUGCUUAACAGAUGGGCUGCGGAGGAUACUACAAGGCUAGGAGGCGGGAGAGGCAAGCGGUACUUAGUGGGUAGGGGUAAAAUCCGUUGAUCCAUUGAAGACCACCAGUGGCGAAGGCGGCUUGCCAGAACGCACUCGACGGUGAGGGAUGAAAGCUGGGGGAGCAAACCGG